AGUGAACGCUGGCGGUAGGCCUAACACAUGCCAGUCGAACGGCAGCACAGUAAGAGCUUGCUCUUACGGGUGGCGAGUGGCGGACGGGUGAGGAAUACAUCGGAAUCUACUUUUUCGUGGGGGAUAACGUAGGGAAACUUACGCUAAUACCGCAUUCGACCUACGGGUGAAAGCAGGGGAUCUUCGGACCUUGCGCGAUUGAAUGAGCCGAUGUCGGAUUAGCUAGUUGGCGGGGUAAAGGCCCACCAAGGCGACGAUCCGUAGCUGGUCUGAGAGGAUGAUCAGCCACACUGGAACUGAGACACGGUCCAGACUCCUACGGGAGGCAGCAGCGGGGAAUAUUGGACAAUGGGCGCAAGCCUGAUCCAGCCAUACCGCGUGGGUGAAGAAGGCCUUCGGGUUGUAAAGCCCUUUUGUUGGGAAAGAAAAGCAGCAGGUUAAUACCCCGCUGUUCUGACGGUACCCAAAGAAUAAGCACCGGCUAACUUCGUG
Molecule: ribosomal RNA, 492 nt
Filed under: uncultured bacterium
Lineage: Bacteria
Description: partial 16S ribosomal RNA
Rfam family: Bacterial small subunit ribosomal RNA
Source: RNAcentral